Long non-coding RNA from Phascolarctos cinereus (koala), 1129 nucleotides. RefSeq lists it as uncharacterized. Lineage: Eukaryota; Metazoa; Chordata; Mammalia; Diprotodontia; Phascolarctidae. The record is from RefSeq and is a predicted model, not a curated record.
UUCUACCCGCCCCUGCCUUGACCAUCUGUCGGAAGCAGGCACUCUUGAUCUGCUCUGCUGCCCUUCAUCCAAACCUAAUCACCAGUCUAAAAGCAAGGAUCCUUCAGAGCAGGGGUUCUUAACCUUCUUUUGUGGCAUAGACACAUUUGACAGUCUGAUGAAACCUAUGGAUCUUUUCUCAGAAUAAUGUUUUUAAAAGGCAUAAAACACGUAGGAUUACAAAGAAAACAGAUUAUAUAGCUAUGCAUUUAUCAAAAUACACUGAAAAAAAAACGUUCGUGGACUCUAGGUUAGGGACUCAGAGUAUCCCUCAUCUUUGGGGCCAUCAUUUAAUCAACACUGAAGUGAGCCCUGGAGCAGAGCUGACCUUGCUGAGGAUUGGAGACCUUGCUUUGCCUAUCCGGCAGGACCAGGGACUCAUCAUUCUCCCUGCCUUAGCUAGGUUCUCCAAGGGUUUAACGGCUGGGCCAGAUGUCUGAAAGUUUUGUUCAGAGGAAACCAUGAUGAAGUAAGAGUGUGUCACCUUCUGAAGAUGUGAAGGGACUCUAUUUUUCCACUGCUGACAAGUGAUUUACAUAGUACACCAAAAGGAGAGAAGAAAGCACUUUCCAUAUCAGCUGUCUCCAGCCAAGCACAGAGCAUUCAGAGUCUAGCACCCUUUCUGCAGGAGACCAGGGAAGUGAGCAAUGAAGAAUUAACUGUAUUUCAAGCUGCUGCCUUCAUCCUCCCCCCUCUCCGGCAGUCUCUCUUCCGACUUUUAUUGACUAUUCAUAGGCAUCUCUGUUUUAUGCAAGUGAAGUUAUGCUGGCUCCAACCACACUCUAGCUUAAAAGAAGAAACAUUCUGCCUGGGGGAAAGGUAGAUUGCUAUGAGAAAGGGCAAGGUUAUGUUUUACUGUUAGAUCAUCAUUUUAUAAAGACUAGAACUAGAAAUGACCUCACACACCAUCUAGUCUAGGGGUGGGGAAACUUCAGCACCACAUGUGGCCCUCUAGGUCCUCAAGUAGGGCCCUUUAAUGGAAUCCAAACUUCACAGCCAUGUCUUCAGGCUCCCCACACCUGAUCUAGUCCAACCUCUUUAUUUUAUAGAUAAGGAAACUGAGACCAAAGAAAGAUACUGUCAUCAUCCA